UUUUUUCGACCAAUUUUUUUUUUCGACUGCCUGGACCCAAAAACUGGAAACGGGUCAAAAAAAACUUUCUAUAACGGCGACUGUCUCAAUAUGCUUAGAAACACCUAAAAAUAGGAUAGCCAGAAAUUUUUUUGUCAACUGCGUUUUCCGAAAAUUUUGGGCCUAAACGGAGGGUGGUUUCCGGACUCUUUUUUUUUUUGGAAACCAACCUCUUCUACGGACGGCAAAAGAUUGCUGGAAUCCGAAACCUACUCAGACAAGGAAACACGAAUCGGAAAUUAGAUGGAUCCCGAAAACAACCCUAAUAUGCAAGGAACUCGGAUUGGUGGUGGAUAUAUGGUGGUGGUAUAUGGCAGCGGUGGUGGUAUAUGGCAGCGGUGGUGGUAUAUGGAUACGGAUUCGAAGCGGUGGCGGAUAAGCGGUGGUGGUAGAUGGCAGGGGCGAUGAUGAUGGUGCGGCGGCGGCGUGACAACUUAUGACCAGAACUCGAAACUCUAAAAGACUAGACUCUAAGACCAGCAACUAGACACGACGAUGCAACCGCAAAUUCAACAACGCAAAUACAGAAAAGAUUAUGCAAAGGCUCAGAUUGGUUCGGAUAUGAUGAACUAACCCUAAUUUUUUUGUGGCUUUUUCGUGGACUGUAGGUAUGAAUAACAGACUCGAUCUAAACUACGAAAAACUAUAAAAUCUCACCGAGCAACCUGGAAAUCUGAUACCACUUGAUAGAGGCAAAGGUGUCCCGUCUUUCGAUGAGAUGGUGGAUUUCGCUUUGGUGGAAGUCGACUUUGACGAUCCGACUACGAACUUGCGAGGACAUCGCGCCUUAGCAAUCACUAAACCAACUCCGAGAGGUUAUUGACCACGCCGGAGCACGAUCAACCUGACCACGAGGGUCUAUUUCCUAUGAGCAAACGAAGAACACGCAAGAAACUGAGAUUGCAAUCUGGAUAUUGUGAAUAUAAGAUGAAAGCUUUAUUGAUCAAGGUGGGGUUCUGUGACGCCUUUGUCUGGUCGUUGAACGCAAACGAAGUACGCGAAGUUGCAGCUAUGGCGAACUCUUAAUCUAAACAAAACCCAAAGGAAAAGCUACUAAAUGGAUCUACUUAUAUAGGAGCAAGGGGUGGCGGCCAAGGAGGUGGGAGGACGUCCCAAGGCAGCCUAAAACUAACCCUAGGUCGUACAAGGCCAAUGGGCCCAAGUGGGGGUGACGUAACACCUUUGGACUUGUAGUUUCACUCGGAUUCUGGUGCAGCAUCAGAUUGUUUCGUCCAUAACACAAAGCUCCGGACGUAUUUUAAGGUGAUUCUAAUUGUGUUGGAAAGAGCAUGAAAUCUACUUUCCAACAAAAAAAGAAUCACCCAAUUCGGAGUCCGUAUGAAAAAGUUGUUGGCGUUUUGAGUCAGGUAUGUCUACGCAGUCCGAAUCUGAAUCCAGAACGUGAGAGACUUGGACUCUAUCUUCUCUUGACCCAAAAGUGACGUGAGAGGACUUUUUGAACAGCACCUAAACUUCUCCUUUUCCCUUAUCUUCAUAUGUGGAUUGUACAAAUGUCCCAUACACCUGCAAUUAGACAAAACACAAAAGUGUGUGAAGUAUGUUUGUUCUGGAUAACAUAAAUAGAUUAUUGAAUAGUUUGCACUAGAAAUCACCUGACAAAUAUGCAUGUAUGCAAUAUUUUUGGUCAUAUCCAAGGUAGUCAUGUCCUCAUCAUCCUCCCCUUCUUGAAAAUAAAGCCGUCCACGGCAUUGCUUAAUCUGAAAUGUGGCUAACAAUAGAGACAAGGUGUACAUGUUGUAUAUGUAUAUGUCAUCCAUUUUUACUUCCCUCGAUUUUUGCAUAUAUGACACAUGAAUAGAUGAGUAACUUGCAUAGUUCAUAAAAUCUAAAGCCAAAAAAUUAGCACAAGAAGUAGAAGGCAUGAAAAUAUUGCAACUCAGUUUGCACAUAUAAGUGAAGCUCUUAUUCAUUUCAAAAGAUUAACAAUAUUCAUCAUUAAACCAUCCCAACAUUGGUGAAUAAACCUUACUUGCAUCAAAUUUACAUGCUACAAUAUGCUUAAAUAAGCAAACAUGCAAUAAGUCAUUCAACACAGAAUCAUCACCAGGAUUAGAGGUCAUAUAAAAAAACAGUUAAUUCAAUGGGUGCACUCAAAAUUGUUGGUAUUUCAGUUGUUUGAUCACAUGACGCAUUCACGACAGUAUCAAGAUUCUCUAAAAUAGGUGAUGUGCUCAAAUCACCAGGUAACUCAACACAUGAUGCAUUCAAGUUAACUAGGGAUGCAUCAUUCUCAUGUGAAGUUAUAUCAUCAAUACCUUUACUAUUACCUUGUCACAAAGGCAUAGCUGAUGUAGGUACAGACGUAGACAAUGCACCAUACUCUUGAGAUGAUGUCGCGCUCACAAUCCGAGGUGGGGCUGCUCUAGUAGGUGCAACGGUGGAGGAACCAACCGGCGGUGGUGAGCAUGAUCUGGAAUAGUAGUUGUUGUAGUCAUCCAAUGCAUCCUCCUGUAUCUGUCUCUCAAAGGUACAAGCACGAACAUACAUACCAGUAAUGCAACGAGGAAUAUACUGAAAUCUUGCCUGAAUAUCAUGGUUCAAACCACCAAAAAAUCUAUUCAUUGUAUCAUCCUUAGAUUCUUCUAUGUCACAAUGAUGCAUAUAAGAUUUGAACUCUUUGUAGUAAGCAUGAACAGUGUUGUUGCCUUGUUUAAAUUGUUCAAAUUUGCGAAGCAAUUCACGAUGAUAGUAAGGAGGGAAAAAAUGUUGUCUCAUUACAUCUUUCAAAUCUUUCCAAGUUGUGGGUUGGUUAUCAAUAUUUUUCUUACAAUGCACACUCCACCAAACUGAAGCAAAACCAGUCAAUGCUCUAGUGGCAGCUCGUACUCGCUCAAGUUCAGAAAAGUCAUGGUUACUAAAAACUUGUUCUACUUCAAACUCCCAAGCUAGAUAAAUAACAGGAUUAAAUCUACCCUCAAAUGACGGUAAAGAGAUAACCUGACCAUGUGGUUGUGUGUGUUGUCCCAACUCUCGUGAUGGUGAAGAUGUGUCCGUCGUCCAAGAACUUCUAUCUCCGGAACCUGUCAUGAUUAGUAGAAACAAGAAACAAAAUUCCAGAAUAAUGUUCCUAUGAACUACUAGGAUGUGGUUGUAAAGUGCUCACAGUAAAGCAAAUAUCAAUAUCUUACAAGUUCUUACCAUGCGGCAGGUGGUGACAGGCAACCAGCGAUGUCAAAUAACUCUGAAGAUUGUGUAAAGCGAUUGCCAGGGGAACGUACGUAUACACGGUGUAGAAAUAUGUGGAGCUGGGUUGGCUAUAUAUGGUAGCAAAAGAUUAGCAAUAAUCAAUUCAGAGAUGCAAUGUUGAAUAAACGCUCAACGACGGUACUGUGCUGGUCCUAGGCUAGACCGUGCUAGAGACGCGAGCCUAGAACACUAACAAAAUCACGGCGCUGCACAUAAACAAGGGAAAAGCACACUCUGGAAUUUUUUUUCGCUCUUUUUUUUGCGCUGCUUUUUUUUUGCGAAAAAUCACUAUAAUGCCGAGUGUCUCAAAACUCUUCCCAGGUCAAACUGACAGGAUGAGCACGAAAUUUUUUCGACCAAUUUUUUUUUCGACUGCCUGGACCCAAAAACUGGAAACGGGUCAAAAAAAACUUUCUAUAACGGCGACUAUCUCAAUACGCUUAGAAACACCUAAAAAUAGGAUAGCCAGAAAUUUUUUUGUCAACUGCGUUUUCCGAAAAUUUUGGGCCUAAACGGAGGGUGGUUUCCGGACUCUCUUUUUUUUUGGAAACCAACCUCUUCUACGGACGGCAAAAGAUUGCUGGAAUCCGAAACCUACUCAGACAAGGAAACACGAAUCGGAAAUUAGAUGGAUCCCGAAAACAACCCUAAUAUGCAAGGAACUCGGAUUGGUGGUGGAUAUAUGGUGGUGGUAUAUGGCAGCGGUGGUGGUAUAUGGAUACGGAUUCGAAGCGGUGGCGAAUAAGCGGUGGUGGUAGAUGGCAGGGGCGAUGAUGAUGGUGCGGCGGCGGCGUGACAACUUAUGACCAGAACUCGAAACUCUAAAAGACUAGACUCUAAGACCAGCAACUAGACACGACGAUGCAACCGCAAAUUCAACGACGCAAAUAUAGAAAAGAUUAUGCAAAGGCUCAGAUUGGUUCGAUAUGAUGAACUAACCCUAAUUUUUUGUGGCUUUUUCGUGGACUGUAGGUAUGAAGAACAGACUCGAUCUAAACUACGAAAAACUAUAAAAUCUCACCGAGCAACCUGGAAAUCUGAUACCACUUGAUAGAGGCAAAGGUGUCCCGUCUUUCGAUGAGAUGGUGGAUUUCGCUUUGGUGGAAGUCGACUUUGACGAUCCGACUACGAACGUGCGAGGACGUCGCGCCUUAGCAAUCACUAAACCAACUCCGAGAGGUUAUUGACCACGCCGGAGCACGAUCAACCUGACCACGAGGGUCUAUUUCCUACGAGCAAACGAAGAACAAGCAAGAAACUGAGAUUGCAAUCUGGAUAUUGCGAAUAUAAGAUGAAAGCUUUAUUGAUCAAGGUGGGGUUCUGUGACGCCUUUGUCUGGUCGUUGAACACAAACGAAGUACGCGAAGUUGCAGCUAUGGCGAACUUUUAAUCUAAACAAAACCCAAAGGAAAAGCUACUAGAUGGAUCUACUUAUAUAGGAGCAAGGGGUGGCGGCCAAGGAGGUGGGAGGACGUCCCAAGGCAGCCUAAAACUAACCCUAGGUCGUACAAGGCCAAUGGGCCCAAGUGG
Molecule: long non-coding RNA, 4776 nt
Filed under: Triticum aestivum (bread wheat)
Lineage: Eukaryota; Viridiplantae; Streptophyta; Magnoliopsida; Poales; Poaceae
Description: long non-coding RNA (TAES_LNC004203)
Source: RNAcentral